Molecule: ribosomal RNA, 634 nt
Filed under: uncultured bacterium
Lineage: Bacteria
Description: bacterial SSU rRNA
Rfam family: Bacterial small subunit ribosomal RNA
Source: RNAcentral
UUAGGAGGAACACCAGUGGCGAAGGCGGCCUUCUGGACCAGUAACUGACACUAGAGGUACGAAAGCGUGGGUAGCAAACAGGAUUAGAUACCCUGGUAGUCCACGCCGUAAACGAUGGGCACUAGGUGUCGGGCUCAUAAGAGUUCGGUGCCGGAGCAAACGCAUUAAGUGCUCCGCCUGGGGAGUACGCACGCAAGUGUAAAACUCAAAGGAAUUGACGGGGACCCGCACGAGCAGCGGAGCAUGUGGUUUAAUUCGAAGCAACGCGAAGAACCUUACCAGGGCUUGACAUCCCUCUGAAAGACCGGGUAAUGCCGGUCCCCUCUUCGGAGCAGAGGAGACAGGUGGUGCAUGGUUGUCGUCAGCUCGUGUCGUGAGAUGUUGGGUUAAGUCCCGCAACGAGCGCAACCCUUGCCGUUAGUUGCCAUCAUUAAGUUGGGCACUCUAAUGGGACUGCCGGAGACAAUCCGGAGGAAGGCGGGGAUGACGUCAAAUCAUCAUGCCCCUUAUGUCCUGGGCGACACACGUGCUACAAUGGCCGUCACAGAGGGAGGCGACGGAGCGAUCCUGAGCGAACCCCCAAAGGCGGUCCCAGUUCGGACUGCAGGCUGAAACCCGCGUGCACGAAGCCGGA